RNAcentral lists this ribosomal RNA (400 nucleotides) under uncultured bacterium. RNAcentral describes it as "bacterial SSU rRNA". It matches the Rfam family "Bacterial small subunit ribosomal RNA", at positions 359 to 776 of the family's 1533-position model. The record is from RNAcentral.
GAAUAUUGGACAAUGGGCGCAAGCCUGAUCCAGCAAUGCCGCGUGAGUGAUGAAGGCCUUAGGGUUGUAAAGCUCUUUCGCCCGCGACGAUGAUGACGGUAGCGGGAGAAGAAGCCCCGGCUAACUCCGUGCCAGCAGCCGCGGUAAUACGGAGGGGGCUAGCGUUGUUCGGAAUUACUGGGCGUAAAGCGCACGUAGGCGGAUUCGUAAGUCAGGGGUGAAAUCCCGAGGCUCAACCUCGGAACUGCCUUUGAUACUGCGAAUCUCGAGUCCGGAAGAGGUGAGUGGAAUUCCUAGUGUAGAGGUGAAAUUCGUAGAUAUUAGGAAGAACACCAGUGGCGAAGGCGGCUCACUGGUCCGGUACUGACGCUGAGGUGCGAAAGCGGGGGGAGCAAACAGG